AACGAACGCUGGCGGCAGGCCUAACACAUGCAAGUCGAGCGAGGACUUCGGUCCUAGCGGCGGACGGGUGAGUAACGCGUGGGAACGUGCCCUUUUCUUCGGAAUAGCCCUGGGAAACUGGGAGUAAUACCGGAUGAGCCCUUUGGGGGAAAGAUUUAUCGGCGAAGGAUCGGCCCGCGUUGGAUUAGGUAGUUGGUGGGGUAAUGGCCUACCAAGCCGACGAUCCAUAGCUGGUUUGAGAGGAUGAUCAGCCACACUGGGACUGAGACACGGCCCAGACUCCUACGGGAGGCAGCAGUGGGGAAUAUUAGAAAAUGGGGGAAACCCUGAUGUAGCCAUGACGCGUGAGCGAUGAAGGCCUUAGGGUUGUAAAGCUCUUUCAGCUGGGAAGAUAAUGACGGUACCAGCAGAAGAAGCCCCGGCUAACUCCGUG
Molecule: ribosomal RNA, 433 nt
Filed under: uncultured bacterium
Lineage: Bacteria
Description: partial 16S ribosomal RNA
Rfam family: Bacterial small subunit ribosomal RNA
Source: RNAcentral